RNAcentral lists this long non-coding RNA (1125 nucleotides) under Salarias fasciatus (jewelled blenny). RNAcentral's name for it is "lncRNA (ENSSFAG00005024043.1)". Lineage: Eukaryota; Metazoa; Chordata; Actinopteri; Blenniiformes; Blenniidae. The record is from RNAcentral.
GCCAUGUUGCUUGUAUCACAGUAAUUUUUUUCUGUGUUGCUGUAAAUAAUAUUUCUUUUCUUCUCUCCUUGGUUAUUUCAGGAUGUCAUCCUGGAUUCACUGUCUCCAGCACAACAAGCUGAAUUACUACUUGAUUCGAACAAUUUUUCCAACGAAACACUCGUGGAACUUGUAUUUUCAACACUCACAACUCAAGAAAACCUCACCUCAUUCUUUGCCACAUUCGUUCGUGAUGCUGUAGAGCAAAAUGUAACCUCAGUUACCCCUGGAGUACGUGACACUGUCCUCAAUUUGACAUUGACGGAGCUCAGCCGAGGAUUUGACACAUUUGACGCAGAUGACUUCAGGUUAUGGUUCCAGGAUUAUCUACCGCUGUUUCUCCUGAGCACCAACUCAAACACACUGGAAAUCAUUCCCAGGAAUAUCACAUGUAACUCCUAUCAAGAGAUUGUCAAAGGCUUCAACAAUGUUUUCAGUAAUCUCUCUGAGAGCCAACGUCAGCAGGUUUUUGUGUUCAUUAAAGAUUAUCUCAGCAGACAAUCUUCUUCAGGUCUUUCCUGUGUCGAAUCAGUAAACAAUGAGGCCUCGCGACGUUUUCUUGAAGACAACUUUGGUCGUUUCAGCACUCUUGCAUCUUUCAAUGACUUUGUGACCUUGAACACAAACUUCAGCGGAGUGCAGGUUGCAGAUCUUCUUACUUUCAAUCAGCUGACCCAGCUGGCAGCUACGCCCUCACAGCUAAACGGGAUGCAAGAUGUGAAAGAAGUCAUGGCCAACAUCGACCCCGCCGACUUUGAUGAUUUCUUUGAUGCAGUCUCACCUGCCAUUGAGGUCCAGUCAGCCAACUACACACAGGAAGUGAGAUCCGGCUUCCUUCAAGAAGUUGUCGACAGAGGCAAUCUGUCCUCACCGGCCAUCAGCGAUGCAGAAUUCCUGCAGUGGCUCAGGUCUCGACUGAGGCCCCUCCUGGUUGACCUCUCUCCCAUGCUGGUGAUGCCUUUGUUCAACAUCGGCUUGAACAGGAGUUGUAACAACAGCCAAGAGAUAAUUGCAGUUCUGGACACCCUGCGCAUGACACUCAGCAACGACACCCAAGAGGAGGUCAUCAGAAACAUUCAACGCUCC